This 451-nucleotide ribosomal RNA is filed under the name uncultured bacterium. RNAcentral's name for it is "bacterial SSU rRNA". It matches the Rfam family "Bacterial small subunit ribosomal RNA", at positions 354 to 796 of the family's 1533-position model. The record is from RNAcentral.
GUGGGGAAUCUUGCGCAAUGGGCGAAAGCCUGACGCAGCGACGCCGCGUGGGUGAUGAAGGCCUUCGGGUUGUAAAGCCCUGUGGGGAGGGACGAACAAGCUGCGACCCAACACGUCGCGGACCUGACGGUACCUCCUUAGCAAGCACCGGCUAACUCUGUGCCAGCAGCCGCGGUAAGACAGAGGGUGCAAACGUUGCUCGGAAUUACUGGGCGUAAAGCGCAUGUAGGCGGCUUCGUAAGUCGGGUGUGAAAUCCCUCGGCUCAACCGGGGAAGUGCACUCGAUACUGCGAAGCUAGAGUACCGGAGAGGGUCGUGGAAUUCCUGGUGUAGAGGUGAAAUUCGUAGAUAUCAGGAGGAACACCGGCGGCGAAGGCGGCGACCUGGACGGAUACUGACGCUCAGAUGCGAAAGCGUGGGUAGCAAACAGGAUUAGAUACCCCAGUAGUCC